UACAGAGGUCUCAAGCGUUGUUCGGAUUCAUUGGGCGUAAAGGGUGCGUAGGUGGCGCCGUAAGUCGGGUGUGAAAUUUCGGAGCUUAACUCCGAAACUGCAUUUGAUACUGCGGUGCUUGAGGACUGGAGAGGAGACUGGAAUUUACGGUGUGGCAGUGAAAUGCGUAGAGAUCGUAAGGAAGACCAGUGGCGAAGGCGGGUCUCUGGACAGUUCCUGACACUGAGGCACGAAGGCCAGGGGAGCAAACGGG
RNAcentral lists this ribosomal RNA (253 nucleotides) under uncultured bacterium. RNAcentral's name for it is "partial 16S ribosomal RNA". It matches the Rfam family "Bacterial small subunit ribosomal RNA", at positions 524 to 776 of the family's 1533-position model. The record is from RNAcentral.